GAUGAACGCUGGCGGCGUGCCUAAUACAUGCAAGUCGAGCGAACAGACGAGGAGCUUGCUCCUCUGACGUUAGCGGCGGACGGGUGAGUAACACGUGGAUAACCUACCUAUAAGACUGGGAUAACUUCGGGAAACCGGAGCUAAUACCGGAUAAUAUAUUGAACCGCAUGGUUCAAUAGUGAAAGACGGUUUUGCUGUCACUUAUAGAUGGAUCCGCGCCGCAUUAGCUAGUUGGUAAGGUAACGGCUUACCAAGGCAACGAUGCGUAGCCGACCUGAGAGGGUGAUCGGCCACACUGGAACGUAGACACGGUCCAGACGCCUACGGGAGGCAGCAGUAGGGAAUCUUCCGCAAUGGGCGAAAGCCUGACGGAGCAACGCCGCGUGAGUGAUGAAGGUCUUCGGAUCGUAAAACUCUGUUAUUAGGGAAGAACAAAUGUGUAAGUAACUAUGCACGUCUUGACGGUACCUAAUCAGAAAGCCACGGCUAACUACGUG
This 497-nucleotide ribosomal RNA is filed under the name uncultured bacterium. RNAcentral describes it as "partial 16S ribosomal RNA". It matches the Rfam family "Bacterial small subunit ribosomal RNA", at positions 28 to 507 of the family's 1533-position model. The record is from RNAcentral.